RNAcentral lists this transfer RNA (73 nucleotides) under Deltaproteobacteria bacterium. Its description in RNAcentral is "tRNA-Met". It matches the Rfam family "tRNA". From Rfam's summary of the family: Transfer RNA (tRNA) molecules are approximately 80 nucleotides in length. Their secondary structure includes four short double-helical elements and three loops (D, anti-codon, and T loops). Lineage: Bacteria; Pseudomonadati; Myxococcota; Myxococcia. The record is from RNAcentral.
AGCGGGGUAGAGCAGUGGUUAGCUUGACGGUUUCAUAAGCCGUAGGUCGCGCGUUCGAAUCGCGCUCCCGCUA